RNAcentral lists this transfer RNA (72 nucleotides) under Marmota monax (woodchuck). RNAcentral describes it as "tRNA.Ala". The record is from RNAcentral. Lineage: Eukaryota; Metazoa; Chordata; Mammalia; Rodentia; Sciuridae.
GGGGAUGUGGCUCAAGCGGUAGCGCGUUUGCCUGGCAUGCACCGGGUGCUGAGUUCUAUCCUCAGCACCACA